GGGGCAUAACCCUAGAAUAGUAAUCAAAGUGCUUGUAAUCACUGAAUGGUUAAGAUUGCUUUAAUUUAUCAGUUGGUAGUAAAAGUGAAUAUUGCAUUGUAUAUUGUAUACAGCAUUGAUUUAAGUUGAUUCAACUAUUAUUCUGGACAAAGAAAGAUAACUCCAAUUUUCAAAGAAGAUUUCAUAAAGCAUUGGUUUUAAGUGGUUCAACAACCAUUCUGGACAAAGAAAGAUAACUCCAAUUUAUUGUCUUGAGACUACAAAAAUGCUUGUUUU
RNAcentral lists this long non-coding RNA (276 nucleotides) under Mytilus galloprovincialis (Mediterranean mussel). Lineage: Eukaryota; Metazoa; Mollusca; Bivalvia; Mytilida; Mytilidae. The record is from RNAcentral.